This is a long non-coding RNA of Myotis myotis, 556 nucleotides long. RefSeq lists it as uncharacterized. The record is from RefSeq and is a predicted model, not a curated record. Lineage: Eukaryota; Metazoa; Chordata; Mammalia; Chiroptera; Vespertilionidae. The transcript has 3 exons.
UUAGCAUAAUAAUCUCCUGGUCCAUCCAUGCUGUCGCAAAGGGUAAUAUAGAUCCUUCUGUUUUACUGCUGCAUAGUAUUCCACCAGCCCACGUUGCUUUUCAUAAGCCAGCAACUGCCAGGCCAGGCUCCCAUUACCCGCGGUCUCCUGUGUUUGUUUACAGGGACCUCAAGGAAGAAAUGGGCCUGCUUAGUCAGGUGCCACAGAAGAUUUCUUUUUGGCUUGAACUUGAUGAAGUUUGGAUGAACUUGGUGAAAUAAACACAAGUUAAAGCAUAUGGUCAUGGAUGCAUCACCACUGUCCCCUUCCUCAUAAUAAGCUGUUCCUAAGCCCGCCUUCCCUUAAGAGAAAAGCUUGUGAGCAUGGCUGGAGGCGUAGACUUGACCUCCACCUCACCAGGUGCAGCUGCUGACCUGCACACAAAAUAGGAAAUAUUUUUUUAAAGCAGGGGGGAGAGUUUCUGUUCCACAAUCACUGCUGUUUCAAUAAAAAGCAACCUGGUUCAUCUGUGAGACCUACUUCCCUCUCUGGUGAACAUGACCAUUUCAAUAGUCGA